UAGGGAAUCUUCCGCAAUGGACGCAAGUCUGACGGAGCACCGCCGCGUGUGUGAAGAAGGUUUUCGGAUCGUAAAGCACUGUUGUUAGAGAAGAACGGCUACUAGAGGAAAUGCUAGUAGAUUGACGGGAUCUAACCAGAAAGCCACGGCUAACUACGUGG
Molecule: ribosomal RNA, 161 nt
Filed under: uncultured bacterium
Lineage: Bacteria
Description: partial 16S rRNA
Rfam family: Bacterial small subunit ribosomal RNA
Source: RNAcentral